RNAcentral lists this ribosomal RNA (280 nucleotides) under Escherichia coli. RNAcentral describes it as "partial 23S ribosomal RNA". It matches the Rfam family "Bacterial large subunit ribosomal RNA", at positions 2663 to 2925 of the family's 2925-position model. The record is from RNAcentral. Lineage: Bacteria; Pseudomonadati; Pseudomonadota; Gammaproteobacteria; Enterobacterales; Enterobacteriaceae.
UGAGGGGGGCUGCUCCUAGUACGAGAGGACCGGAGUGGACGCAUCACUGGUGUUCGGGUUGUCAUGCCAAUGGCACUGCCCGGUAGCUAAAUGCGGAAGAGAUAAGUGCUGAAAGCAUCUAAGCACGAAACUUGCCCCGAGAUGAGUUCUCCCUGGCUCCUUGAGAGUCCUGAAGGAACGUUGAAGACGACGACGUUGAUAGGCCGGGUGUGUAAGCGCAGCGAUGCGUUGAGCUAACCGGUACUAAUGAACCGUGAGGCUUAACCUUACAACGCCGAAG